RNAcentral lists this ribosomal RNA (1155 nucleotides) under Triticum aestivum (bread wheat). Its description in RNAcentral is "partial small subunit ribosomal RNA". Lineage: Eukaryota; Viridiplantae; Streptophyta; Magnoliopsida; Poales; Poaceae. The record is from RNAcentral.
AUGUCGCUUGAGAUCUACCUGGUUGGCAACUACUCGCAUGACAUUGGCCCAUUGGUCCGUGACGCCAUCGACAACGGCAUGAUAAAAGAACUGGACCUAACCAUUGCGGACGACAAGGAUUACAAUUGCAAAGGUGUGGAUAUGCUACAGAAAGCACAGGAUGUAGACGGGUUCUUCAGCGCCUAUCCUAAUAUACUUCCUUGCCUCACAAGGCUCCAGCUUUACAACCUGCGCUUUGCUGAGGGAGAUAUACAUCACAUCCUAUUUGAUUGCUGCAAGCAGCUGCAGCACCUUAGUCUGGAACACUGUGAUGUUGGCGACUGCUCGGUGUGGCAGGUAGACGCGCCGAAUUCGGUCCUCAGGGUUCUUGAAAUCCGCUAUUCGUACUUGAAGAGGCUCAAGGUGCUCUGCCUUCCCAAACUAGAGCUGCUCAGUUGGGAGGCGUGGGUGCACUGUGAGCCCCCCUUGCAUUUUGGUUAUGUCCCGUCUCUUAAGGAGUUAAUCCUCUUAUGUGCUGCAAAGCUUGAUCACCCGGAGUUUAGUUUAAGCCAGCUUCUAGAUGGUGCCACAGAAAUCAAUACCCUGACCUUAAACUUCCAAGGAGAAAAGCUUUGGAUCCAACCGGAAAGCAGGCAACUCCGUGCCGCAUUCAGCAAGCUAAGGAAGCUGUCUAUUCAUGGCAUAUAUGUUGAGUUUGACCUGUUAUGGACAAUAAAUCUCCUUGAAGCUGCUCCAACCGUUGAGAUAUUUGAUAUUGAGGUGUAUGAACAUCCAUGUAUGGUACCAUAUUGGGUGCGCGUUGGCGUUCAAAGAGUGCAACCUUCAUGGAAGACGCCUGGGUUUACAAGCUGUAAGAAGUGGCAACUGAGAGAGCUCUAUGUUACCAACUUUAGUUCCCUCGUGGGGCAACAUGUGUUAUUUGUACGCGAGGUGAUGGAUCAAGCGCCAAACUUGAAAACUGUUAUUUUGAAGGAAGAUGAAGAAGCAUGCAAGGAUUGUGAGGCAAUGGGCGCACUGCCUACUCCGGUAGGAGGCUUGUUUCCGAGGACCAAAAAGGAGCAAGAAACAAUAGCCCAGCAACUUAGGGACAACAUGGUCAGCUCGUCCUCGGCACAGAUAAUUUUCAAAAGUAUUGUUUCAACGGUGGUAUUCUGA